Molecule: ribosomal RNA, 1006 nt
Filed under: Staphylococcus aureus
Lineage: Bacteria; Bacillati; Bacillota; Bacilli; Caryophanales; Staphylococcaceae
Description: partial 23S ribosomal RNA
Rfam family: Bacterial large subunit ribosomal RNA
Source: RNAcentral
UAAGGGCGCACGGUGGAUGCCUUGGCACUAGAAGCCGAUGAAGGACGUUACUAACGACGAUAUGCUUUGGGGAGCUGUAAGUAAGCUUUGAUCCAGAGAUUUCCGAAUGGGGAAACCCAGCAUGAGUUAUGUCAUGUUAUCGAUAUGUGAAUACAUAGCAUAUCAGAAGGCACACCCGGAGAACUGAAACAUCUUAGUACCCGGAGGAAGAGAAAGAAAAUUCGAUUCCCUUAGUAGCGGCGAGCGAAACGGGAAGAGCCCAAACCAACAAGCUUGCUUGUUGGGGUUGUAGGACACUCUAUACGGAGUUACAAAGGACGACAUUAGACGAAUCAUCUGGAAAGAUGAAUCAAAGAAGGUAAUAAUCCUGUAGUCGAAAAUGUUGUCUCUCUUGAGUGGAUCCUGAGUACGACGGAGCACGUGAAAUUCCGUCGGAAUCUGGGAGGACCAUCUCCUAAGGCUAAAUACUCUCUAGUGACCGAUAGUGAACCAGUACCGUGAGGGAAAGGUGAAAAGCACCCCGGAAGGGGAGUGAAAUAGAACCUGAAACCGUGUGCUUACAAGUAGUCAGAGCCCGUUAAUGGGUGAUGGCGUGCCUUUUGUAGAAUGAACCGGCGAGUUACGAUUUGAUGCAAGGUUAAGCAGUAAAUGUGGAGCCGUAGCGAAAGCGAGUCUGAAUAGGGCGUUUAGUAUUUGGUCGUAGACCCGAAACCAGGUGAUCUACCCUUGGUCAGGUUGAAGUUCAGGUAACACUGAAUGGAGGACCGAACCGACUUACGUUGAAAAGUGAGCGGAUGAACUGAGGGUAGCGGAGAAAUUCCAAUCGAACCUGGAGAUAGCUGGUUCUCUCCGAAAUAGCUUUAGGGCUAGCCUCAAGUGAUGAUUAUUGGAGGUAGAGCACUGUUUGGACGAGGGGCCCCUCUCGGGUUACCGAAUUCAGACAAACUCCGAAUGCCAAUUAAUUUAACUUGGGAGUCAGAACAUGGGUGAUAAGGUCCGUGUUCGA